This is a long non-coding RNA of Astatotilapia calliptera (eastern happy), 570 nucleotides long. The record is from Ensembl. NCBI's taxonomy places the organism in Eukaryota, Metazoa, Chordata, Actinopteri, Cichliformes, Cichlidae.
GUUAGGCCUCAAAAGCAAAGUAAAGUUCAGCAAAGUUCAGCUACAGUCAGGAUUGUGAGCUAUUUCCCUGGCUUCAACAUAGAACCAGCAAACAAACAUGUGGUGUAAACAAGAACCUUAACUAUCUGUUACUGGUUACUGCUAAACCUGUUAUCUUAAAGAGACACCAAGAGGUUUAACUGCACAUGAGCUAUCAGUCCAGCUGUGAAGUUCCUCUUCAAAGGUGCACUGAAACCUGAAAGCUGAGGUCUUACCGUUCUCACCUUUUGACCAAACUUUGUCACCUCAGACACCAGGGACUGCUGCACUUUUCAGCAAGGUAUGUGUAUGGGUCUGUGUAUGGGUGUGUCUGGUAGGACAAGCCUCGUUGGAGGAGCUACUUAGGAGUGUGGUGCAACUCUCUCCGACGCUGGAUCGUUUCGUGAGACUUCCGAGAAUUGCGGGACGAGAGGGCAGCAAAGACGGACCACACUAACACUAAGCAGUGGAGACACAGAGCACUGACACUGGAUGAGGAUACGGAACGGGAGUCUGGGACACUAGGGGAUUUAUUGUUGCUUACUUCACCAC